CUACAAAAGGCAUCAAACUUGGAGGAUUGGCGAAAAGUUAUCUUAAACAAGGUUGUAAAAUGUUAGGUUGUGCUCCGCAUGAUAAUGAAAAGCAACGUAAAUACAAUGUUAUUCAAAUUCCUCUGCCUGCUGUUUCAAGUACAAGCACAAGU
This is a long non-coding RNA of Adelges cooleyi (spruce gall adelgid), 152 nucleotides long. RefSeq lists it as uncharacterized. The transcript has 3 exons. Lineage: Eukaryota; Metazoa; Arthropoda; Insecta; Hemiptera; Adelgidae. The record is from RefSeq and is a predicted model, not a curated record.